This 500-nucleotide ribosomal RNA is filed under the name uncultured bacterium. RNAcentral's name for it is "partial 16S ribosomal RNA". It matches the Rfam family "Bacterial small subunit ribosomal RNA", at positions 30 to 523 of the family's 1533-position model. The record is from RNAcentral.
AUUGAACGCUGGCGGCAUGCCUUACACAUGCAAGUCGAACGGCAGCGGGGACUUCGGUCCGCCGGCGAGUGGCGAACGGGUGAGUAAUGCAUCGGAACGUACCCUUCAGUGGGGGAUAACUAUCCGAAAGGAUAGCUAAUACCGCAUAUUCUCUGAGGAGGAAAGCGGGGGACCUUCGGGCCUCGCGCUGAUGGAGCGGCCGAUGUCAGAUUAGCUAGUUGGUGAGGUAAAGGCUCACCAAGGCGACGAUCUGUAGCGGGUCUGAGAGGAUGAUCCGCCACACUGGGACUGAGACACGGCCCAGACUCCUACGGGAGGCAGCAGUGGGGAAUUUUGGACAAUGGGGGCAACCCUGAUCCAGCCAUGCCGCGUGAGUGAAGAAGGCCUUCGGGUUGUAAAGCUCUUUCGGCCGGGAAGAAAUCGCACAGUCUAAUACGCUGUGUGGAUGACGGUACCGGAAUAAGAAGCACCGGCUAACUACGUGCCAGCCGCCGCGGUAA